GACGAACGCUGGCGGCGUGCCUAAUACAUGCAAGUCGAACGCAGUUGCGAACGGGUGAGUAACGCGUAGGUAACUGCCUCAUAGCGGGGGAUAACUAUUGGAAACGAUAGCUAAUACCGCAUACUGUGAGAUGGACCUGCGUUGUAUUAGCUAGUUGGUGAGGUAAAGGCUCACCAAGGCGACGAUACAUAGCCGACCUGAGAGGGUGGUCGACCACACUGGGACUUGUACACGGGCCAGACUCCUAAGGGAGGCAGCAGGAGGGAAUCAUUGGAAAUGGACGGAAGGCUGACCGAGCAACGGCGCGUGAGAGAAGAAGGUUUUCGGAGCGGAAAGCUAUGUUGUUAGAGAAGCGGUAACUAACGAGAAAGGGACGGCUAACUACGUGCCAGCAGCCGCGGUAAUUC
This 407-nucleotide ribosomal RNA is filed under the name uncultured bacterium. Its description in RNAcentral is "partial 16S ribosomal RNA". It matches the Rfam family "Bacterial small subunit ribosomal RNA", at positions 28 to 526 of the family's 1533-position model. The record is from RNAcentral.